AAAUUGAAGAGUUUGAUCAUGGCUCAGAUUGAACGCUGGCGGCAGGCCUAACACAUGCAAGUCGAACGGUAACAGGAAGCAGCUUGCUGCUUCGCUGACGAGUGGCGGACGGGUGAGUAAUGUCUGGGAAACUGCCUGAUGGAGGGGGAUAACUACUGGAAACGGUAGCUAAUACCGCAUAACGUUGCAAGACCAAAGAGGGGGACCUUCGGGCCUCUUGCCAUCGGAUGUGCCCAGAUGGGAUUAGCUUGUUGGUGGGGUAACGGCUCACCAAGGCGACGAUCCCUAGCUGGUCUGAGAGGAUGACCAGCCACACUGGAACUGAGACACGGUCCAGACUCCUACGGGAGGCAGCAGUGGGGAAUAUUGCACAAUGGGCGCAAGCCUGAUGCAGCCAUGCCGCGUGUAUGAAGAAGGCCUUCGGGUUGUAAAGUACUUUCAGCGGGGAGGAAGGGAGUAAAGUUAAUACCUUUGCUCAUUGACGUUACCCGCAGAAGAAGCACCGGCUAACUCCGUGCCAGCAGCCGCGGUAAUACGGAGGGUGCAAGCGUUAAUCGGAAUUACUGGGCGUAAAGCGCACGCAGGCGGUUUGUUAAGUCAGAUGUGAAAUCCCCGGGCUCAACCUGGGAACUGCAUCUGAUACUGGCAAGCUUGAGUCUCGUAGAGGGGGGUAGAAUUCCAGGUGUAGCGGUGAAAUGCGUAGAGAUCUGGAGGAAUACCGGUGGCGAAGGCGGCCCCCUGGACGAAGACUGACGCUCAGGUGCGAAAGCGUGGGGAGCAAACAGGAUUAGAUACCCUGGUAGUCCACGCCGUAAACGAUGUCGACUUGGAGGUUGUGCCCUUGAGGCGUGGCUUCCGGAGCUAACGCGUUAAGUCGACCGCCUGGGGAGUACGGCCGCAAGGUUAAAACUCAAAUGAAUUGACGGGGGCCCGCACAAGCGGUGGAGCAUGUGGUUUAAUUCGAUGCAACGCGAAGAACCUUACCUGGUCUUGACAUCCACAGAACUUUCCAGAGAUGGAUUGGUGCCUUCGGGAACUGUGAGACAGGUGCUGCAUGGCUGUCGUCAGCUCGUGUUGUGAAAUGUUGGGUUAAGUCCCGCAACGAGCGCAACCCUUAUCCUUUGUUGCCAGCGGUCCGGCCGGGAACUCAAAGGAGACUGCCAGUGAUAAACUGGAGGAAGGUGGGGAUGACGUCAAGUCAUCAUGGCCCUUACGACCAGGGCUACACACGUGCUACAAUGGCGCAUACAAAGAGAAGCGACCUCGCGAGAGCAAGCGGACCUCAUAAAGUGCGUCGUAGUCCGGAUUGGAGUCUGCAACUCGACUCCAUGAAGUCGGAAUCGCUAGUAAUCGUGGAUCAGAAUGCCACGGUGAAUACGUUCCCGGGCCUUGUACACACCGCCCGUCACACCAUGGGAGUGGGUUGCAAAAGAAGUAGGUAGCUUAACCUUCGGGAGGGCGCUUACCACUUUGUGAUUCAUGACUGGGGUGAAGUCGUAACAAGGUAACCGUAGGGGAACCUGCGGUUGGAUCACCUCCUUACCUUAAAGAA
This 1552-nucleotide ribosomal RNA is filed under the name Escherichia coli. Its description in RNAcentral is "bacterial SSU rRNA". It matches the Rfam family "Bacterial small subunit ribosomal RNA". The record is from RNAcentral. Lineage: Bacteria; Pseudomonadati; Pseudomonadota; Gammaproteobacteria; Enterobacterales; Enterobacteriaceae.